This 253-nucleotide ribosomal RNA is filed under the name uncultured bacterium. Its description in RNAcentral is "partial 16S ribosomal RNA". It matches the Rfam family "Bacterial small subunit ribosomal RNA", at positions 524 to 776 of the family's 1533-position model. The record is from RNAcentral.
UACGUAGGGUGCGAGCGUUGUCCGGAAUUACUGGGCGUAAAGCGUGCGCAGGCGGCGCGUUAAGACAGGUGUGAAAGCCCCGAGCUUAACUUGGGAAUUGCGCUUGUGACUGGCGAGCUGGAGUGUGGCAGAGGGAGGUGGAAUUCCACGUGUAGCAGUGAAAUGCGUAGAGAUGUGGAGGAACACCGAUGGCGAAGGCAGCCUCCUGGGCCAGCACUGACGCUCAUGCACGAAAGCGUGGGGAGCAAACAGG